RNAcentral lists this long non-coding RNA (263 nucleotides) under Homo sapiens (human). RNAcentral's name for it is "HSALNT0286548". Lineage: Eukaryota; Metazoa; Chordata; Mammalia; Primates; Hominidae. The record is from RNAcentral.
UAAAGCCUCCAGAACUGUGAGAAAUCAAUUUCUGUUCUUUAUAAAGUACCUAGUCUCAGGUAUUCUGUAAUAGCAGCACAAAAUGGACUAAGACAGACCCCCUCCUAUUUAUGUCUCCUUCUUUUUUAGGAUAGGCCUUGUCUGUGGGGAACAUAAAGGGCUGCUUGGCACUAGGUUGCCUAGAAUUGGUGUGGCACCAGUUUAGGCCAGUGGUCUGAAAAAGCCAGCUAACAUGAGCCUGCGACCUUGAGAACCAUGAGUAG